This 306-nucleotide unclassified non-coding RNA is filed under the name plant metagenome. RNAcentral's name for it is "partial contains 5.8S ribosomal RNA, internal transcribed spacer 2, and large subunit ribosomal RNA". The stretch from base 1 to 106 matches the Rfam family "5.8S ribosomal RNA", at positions 49 to 154 of the family's 154-position model. The record is from RNAcentral.
CGAAAUGCGAUAAGUAGUGUGAAUUGCAGAAUUCAGUGAAUCAUCGAAUCUUUGAACGCACAUUGCGCCCUUUGGUAUUCCUUAGGGCAUGCCUGUUCGAGCGUCAUUUGUAACCUCAAGCUCAGCUUGGUGUUGGGUGUCUGUCCCCGCCCCGCGCGGGGACUCGCCUCAAAAACAUUGGCGGCCGGUACGUUGGCUUCGAGCGCAGCAGAAACGCGAACUCGAGGCCCGACGGAUCGGCGACCAGAAGUCACUUCUUCCACAGCUUGACCUCGGAUCAGGUAGGGAUACCCGCUGAACUUAAGC